RNAcentral lists this non-coding RNA (101 nucleotides) under Bacillota bacterium. RNAcentral describes it as "Firmicutes bacterium Guanine sequence". It matches the Rfam family "Purine riboswitch aptamer". Rfam says of the family: Riboswitches are metabolite binding domains within certain messenger RNAs that serve as precision sensors for their corresponding targets. Allosteric rearrangement of mRNA structure is mediated by ligand binding, and this results in modulation of gene expression. Lineage: Bacteria; Bacillati; Bacillota. The record is from RNAcentral.
UCGGUAAGAAAACAAACAGUCGAUAUAUCUCAGAUAAUAAGGAUUUGAAGUUUCUACCCGGUCCCGUAACAGACCGGACUAUCGGCAACUGAACCGGUCAU